This 595-nucleotide long non-coding RNA is filed under the name Monodelphis domestica (gray short-tailed opossum). Its description in RNAcentral is "lncRNA (ENSMODG00000050017.1)". Lineage: Eukaryota; Metazoa; Chordata; Mammalia; Didelphimorphia; Didelphidae. The record is from RNAcentral.
GUUUAUUAAAAGAACAUUUUAUUAAUAUCCAGGAAAGGAAGUGAUGAUUAUCACAAUAGCAUAACUUCAUCAAGUAUAAGUGAUACCAGAUUAAAUAUUUUCCCCUCUCUUUUUUGACAGAUCAUGAAAUUGGUAUACCACAACAAGGCUAGAAAUGAAAUUUAUCCAGAUUUUAGCAAAGCAUCUGCCAAAGUCUCUCAUGCUAUUCAUAUGGAAAAUAAGGAAAAAGGUUCAAAAGCCACUUCUCACAGAGUUUUUGGCAUCUUCUGGGCACAGAGCAGGAUCUAUGGAUAUAAUGAAGUAACAGGAGCCCUCCAUGCCAUGGACAGGGGAAGAGGAUGGGACUCCAACCACAGACCUGGACUCUGACAAUGAUGACAAAUUUGAGAUCUUAGGGAUGAGGUAGGGGCAGGGUUAUCCUUCCCUCACUCUUUUUGCAGAUUUUGAUGUUGCAUGUUCCUGUAAUGCAGACUUUGUAUAAAAUAUGGAUGUCCUGUUCUAAGGGCACAGGUAUUUAUUCUGUAAUCCAUUUUAAAACACGUGCCAAAUCCAACCUUCUAAUAAAUAAGAUAGAAAAAAAUAGUGUGGUAAAAAA